Antechinus flavipes (yellow-footed antechinus) is the source of this 104-nucleotide small nuclear RNA. The record is from RefSeq and is a predicted model, not a curated record. Lineage: Eukaryota; Metazoa; Chordata; Mammalia; Dasyuromorphia; Dasyuridae.
GUGCUCACUUUGGCAGCAUACAUACUAAAAUUGCAAAGAUACAGAAAAUAUUAGCAUAGAGAGGCAAGGAUGAUACACAAAUUCAUGAAGUGUUCCCUAGUUUU